Molecule: RNA transcript, 1611 nt
Organism: Neofelis nebulosa (Clouded leopard)
Lineage: Eukaryota; Metazoa; Chordata; Mammalia; Carnivora; Felidae
Gene: GINS1
Gene name: GINS complex subunit 1
Exons: 8
Source: RefSeq, a predicted model, not a curated record
GCAAAUGUCCCUUCACAGCCGCCGUAAGCCGCGAGGCUCAGGAGCGUGUUACUAUUGGCUGGGUGUGUUUGGCGCCAAAGCGGAGGCGGAGGCGAUUAUCUGCGGCUGUGGGACUGGGAACCACAGUACCUUAGAGAGGGGGCCGUGAACCCAGCGACCGUUUGGCGUGAGAGCGGUCGGUUUAGGAAGCUGCAGGGCCGGGGCGCGUCCGACAUGUUCUGCGAAAAGGCCAUGGAGCUGGUCCGCGAGCUGCACCGCGCGCCAGAAGGGCAGCUGCCAGUCUUCAAUGAGGAUGGACUCAGGCAAGUUCUGGAAGAGAUGAAAGCUUUGUAUGAACAAAACCAGUCUGAUGUGAAUGAAGUGAAAUCAGGUGGACAAAGUGAUUUGAUACCAACCAUCAAAUUUCGACACUGUUCCUUGUUAAGAAAUCGACGCUGUGCUGUAGCAUACCUGUAUGAUCGACUGCUUCGGAUCAGAGCACUCAGGUGGGAGUAUGGCAGCGUCUUGCCAAAUGCUUUACGGUUUCACAUGUCUGCUGAAGAAAUGGAGUGGUUCAAUCAUUAUAAAAAGUCCCUUGCUACUUAUAUGAGGUCACUGGGAGGAGAUGGAGGUUUGGACAUCACACAAGAUAUGAAACCUCCAAAAAGCCUAUAUAUAGAAGUGCGGUGUCUAAAAGACUAUGGAGAAUUUGAAGUUGAUGAUGGUACUUCAGUCCUAUUAAAAAAAAAUAGCCAGGACCCAGCAGGAAGCUCUGAUUCACAAGAGCAAAGCUAUCCUCAUAAAGCAAGACAGGAGAAAACUGCAUCUCCAGCACCGUCCUGUUUGAAUUUCUUUCUCAAGCUCUGUGGCUGAUCUCCCCACCUAGUGUGCUGAGACGGUGAUUUUUCACUGGAGUGCCCAGGUGGGCCUGGGGCAGUUGGAAACCAGCUGAGUCCCUCUUCCUGCUCCCCACUAAACAAUUGUCACUCUCUGUGUGGACCAUGCAGAAGCCUUUCCCUUGAGAUGCUUUUGACUUGUCUCUCAGUAUUGCCCUACCCUCAGCACUUCUUACCUAGGUGGAAGUGUGAGCAGCUGGUCAGACAGGGCAUUCUGGAGCAUGUGCUGUCCUGACAUUGGGCUGAGGUGCUGCCAGGCUUUUCCCCAUGGUGUGAGGCAGAGCCAAGACACGGAAAGUUCUACAUGUCCUUCUCCACCUUCCCCUGUUUGGUUUUAAAAGUUACAGACAUUCAUGAAGAUAAACAGGAAUAUCUGGCUGAGGAGUAUCCUUUUGUACAGGAUUCUUCUUCCUCUUUGUAAUAAGCUGUAUCUAUAAUCCUAACAUUCCUGUAGUUAUUAAAGUGUGUUUUUUAACAAUUUUUUAAUGAAAGUAAUGAAAAUGAAAUGUAAUGCAAAAGUAAUGAAAGUAUUUGAAUUUCUUAGUUUUUCCCCCAAUAGUAAUGAUUAUUUUCAUUAAUGAACAUCUCUGAUGUUGCCCACAGUACAGUAUACUAAGUCAUAAAACAUAAAGUACAAAUCCAAGGAAGGUAGUAAUACCUUUCCUAAGUUACAAAACUUUGGCAAAUUAAUACAGUAUCCUUUAAUACAAUAAAAUCCUUUUUUGUUGUUGUUGGA